GAUGAACGCUGGCGGCGUGCCUAAUACAUGCAAGUCGAGCGAACGGACGAGAAGCUUGCUUUUCUGAUGUUAGCGGCGGACGGGUGAGUAACACGUGGAUAACCUACCUAUAAGACUGGGAUAACUUCGGGAAACCGGAGCUAAUACCGGAUAAUAUUUUGAACCGCAUGGUUCAAAAGUGAAAGACGGUCUUGCUGUCACUUAUAGAUGGAUCCGCGCUGCAUUAGCUAGUUGGUAAGGUAACGGCUUACCAAGGCAACGAUGCAUAGCCGACCUGAGAGGGUGAUCGGCCACACUGGAACUGGGACACGGUCCAGACUCCUACGGGAGGCAGCAGUAGGGAAUCUUCCGCAAUGGGCGAAAGCCUGACGGAGCAACGCCGCGUGAGUGAUGAAGGUCUUCGGAUCGUAAAACUCUGUUAUUAGGGAAGAACAUAUGUGUAAGUAACUGUGCACAUCGUGACGGUACCUAAUCAGAAAGCCACGGCUAACUACGUG
Molecule: ribosomal RNA, 497 nt
Filed under: uncultured bacterium
Lineage: Bacteria
Description: partial 16S ribosomal RNA
Rfam family: Bacterial small subunit ribosomal RNA
Source: RNAcentral